AUAGAGCUUCCCCUUCGGGGGCAAAGUGACAGGUGGUGCAUGGUUGUCGUCAGCUCGUGUCGUGAGGUGUUGGGUUAAGUCCCGCAACGAGCGCAACCCUUAUUGCUAGUUGCCAUCAUUUAGUUGGGCACUCUGGCGAGACUGCCGGUGACAAACCGGAGGAAGGUGGGGAUGACGUCAAAUCAUCAUGCCCCUUAUGACCUGGGCUACACACGUGCUACAAUGGGAAGUACAACGAGUUGCGAAGUCGCGAGGCUAAGCUAAUCUCUUAAAGCUUCUCUCAGUUCGGAUUGUAGGCUGCAACUCGCCUACAUGAAGCCGGAAUCGCUAGUAAUCGCGGAUCAGCACGCCGCGGUGAAUACGUUCCCGGGCCUUGUACACACCGA
Molecule: ribosomal RNA, 386 nt
Filed under: uncultured bacterium
Lineage: Bacteria
Description: bacterial SSU rRNA
Rfam family: Bacterial small subunit ribosomal RNA
Source: RNAcentral